This is a long non-coding RNA of Ooceraea biroi (clonal raider ant), 1974 nucleotides long. RefSeq lists it as uncharacterized. Lineage: Eukaryota; Metazoa; Arthropoda; Insecta; Hymenoptera; Formicidae. The record is from RefSeq and is a predicted model, not a curated record.
GAAUAAGAAAGCUUCCUACUGAAUAUCAGGCGUCAUUUGUUUAAUAGUUCAUGCCAUUGUUUUCCAUCCUUGCGAUCGAUACAGUCGCCCUUGAAAAUUUCGCCGCCCAUUUCUGCAACACCUUUGUCAUAAUGCACGAAUUGUCUUCCAUAUAUACAAUAAUAAUUUAGAUUAUCUUUACAAUGGAUUUUUAAGAGUGUGUGGACGUAAUUGCAACCGAUAAAAUUAAAUUACGAUACAGAAAUGUCUGUCGUGGCGUUGACGAUGCACGGUGGUGUAAACCGCACGUAACGUAUAGUGUUCAAAAUGUUGAUGUACGUGGAGGACAGCGUGAUUGCUAUACCGAUCGCUACUAUGAAAUAGCCGAAAUCGCUCGUAAGCGUUUGGGUGUGAAUUCUGGUUGACUUUGUGGCGUCUGAGAGAAGUGGCUGAUUCUCUUGCUGAGAUCUGGAGGUUGUCAAAGUAGAGAUACGUGUAACUGGAUUGAAGAUUCAUUGUUUAGUAAAACAUACAUGCAUGUACACACACAGGUAAUCGUACAAGAGUUGGCACCUGUGAGGAUUGUUCGUAGUAUUCAGGAAACCGUAGUACGUUGAAUGCGAGUGAGCUCCAGGGGGCAUUGAACGUUGCUCUUUGCCCCUGAAUCGUUUACGAGCACUUGGAUAAACCCAUUCUGUGGUUGCUAUCGCUUGAGUCGACUUCUUCAGAGUCAAGGCUCGGUUGUACAUUACGGGAGGUAACAGAAAGACUAAUGAUCCGGUCAACGAUCCACCAAUUAGAGUCAUAAUAAUAUCGAAUCGCGAUAUCGAUUCGCCUAUAGCCACGCUGAGUAAAACUACCGCCGAUCUCGUGGCACAUCGUUUCCAUCCAAAGGCUGGUCCAGCAUAAUAUCAAAUGAUCUUCUAGAUGUUGGAAGAGCGCUGAGUAGCCAAUCACGCUAGAAAAGCAUAGCUGAAGAGCUGCUAAUAGAACAGCAACAUUUGCUGCCAGUCCUGGUGGAACAGCUUCGAGGAUAUUGGCAGUCGUAUCGUCACUAUACUUCCAUGCGACUAGGGAAACGGUAACGACGAACAUUGAUCCGCUUGCUAUCGUGUAACAAAAAAGUAAUCUAGAGCCUCAGCCUCAUUGAAUGAAAUUAAGUAAAAAUUGAACAUAUAUUGGAUUCAUUGGAUAUAUGAACGUGAGAAGAUUGAUAUCGAGGGAUUAAUAAUUGCACAAUUAUUUGACACUUCUGAUAUACAAAGAUAAAACGUACAAAAAUAUAAUUUACUGUUUCUUACUUAUGAAAGAAAAAAAGAUAGCUUUGUCGAUAUUUUGAGGCUGACGCAUAUCGACCUGUAUCGUCAUUAGAGUGGGGUGUACAUCAAACUGAAAGGCCAGCAUGCCAUACCUGCAAAUUGUCUUUGAAAUUAUGUUAUUAUUUUUUCGUUUUUGUAUGCCAUAUCCGAACUGCCAGAAGUAUGCGGUCUUUCACAUAUACGUGUGUUGCGUAAUUAGAGCGUUGAUGUGUAUACAGGACCUACAGCUUAGACGGCAGAUGGCCGGUUUCGAACCGAAAGAACAGUUAAUAUAUUAGAGAGAUUUCCUGGGCUCGCUCUCUAUUAUAUUAUAUCGAUCAUUAAAUUUGAUAUAAGACGCAGACGAUUAUUUAUAUAAAAAAAUGUUGAUGUGUUAAGGAUUACUUAAUUAUUGUACAAUUAUAUUAUGGAGAUAUUUCUUUAACACACGUACGAAGGUGUACAUAAAACUGGUUAUUAUAUUUACCCAGAAAGAAAUUUAUUCCACGUUGGUGAAGUUGUUAUUGGUGCAGCAUCAAAUAUUCGAUCAUCAAUAAUAAUGCUCCACCAUAUUAAUAUAGUUGUUAAAACAACCGUUACGCUAGAGCAUGUUGCCACCCAUCUAUAAUAAUUUACAGGUAAUUUCUGUAUAAUUGCGUUACAUUUUUUAAGUUAUUAAAAUAAAAGUUUAUCCACA